Molecule: long non-coding RNA, 604 nt
Organism: Myripristis murdjan (pinecone soldierfish)
Lineage: Eukaryota; Metazoa; Chordata; Actinopteri; Holocentriformes; Holocentridae
Exons: 4
Source: RefSeq, a predicted model, not a curated record
CAGAACUUUUGUCCCCUCGGAGAAAUGAUCUGUCACUGUAUGACAUCCUCAGCAGCCAAACAAUGUAUCCCUCAGCCAAACAAUAUACAGAGAUUUUAAGCCUGUUCAUACGCAGAUGUCCCUUCAUGCAGGAGAAAAUUGGUUCAGGACAUGAUGAUUUACGUGAGUCUCUAACAAGUUCAAAAAGGAAAGGCGACCCCUUAUUGGUGACUCAAUGGUGCAACAAAUGUGUCCAAACUUUUCUGUGGCAGGAUCUGGAAAGAAGCACCAUACUCCGGGUCAACCAAGCCAGCUUUUCUACAUAAACAGGCCUGCUGCUCAGGAAGAUGGAGACUUUGGAGAGGAUGAAAGGACCAUUCAAGCUCAUAUCCAAAAUAUGUCUACAGAGAUGCUUAAAGUACACCCAGAUGAGAAAUCAUUAAAGGAGGGAAUGAGACGAACAUGUGCUACCCGAAAAACCUUCAUGGCAAAUGCCAAGGCUGAGGAAAUCAUUGAAAAGUUUCCAGCACUGGGGCUUCCUAAAAUAGUUGAAUUGAUCAUAUUUAAUUUCAUGUCUAUUACUGCAUUUAUGAUAAUCAAGUAUUUAGAGCUAAUAUAUUUUUGU